RNAcentral lists this long non-coding RNA (228 nucleotides) under Gossypium raimondii (Peruvian cotton). RNAcentral describes it as "long non-coding RNA (GRAI_LNC006606)". The record is from RNAcentral. Lineage: Eukaryota; Viridiplantae; Streptophyta; Magnoliopsida; Malvales; Malvaceae.
ACAAAUCUCAAAUUUGAGUGUAGUCUAAAGACCAAAAUUAAAAUUGAAUCAUUUUUAUAUAAUCUAGAAAAAUAAAGGAGCUAGAAUUGAAAUUUAACCAUUUUAUUAAUAGGGAAAAAAAGGUAAUAAAAAAAAACAUGAAUGUAGUAAAAGGAAUGCCCUAAAUGCUUCCUUCUAUAUAUAAUAGUCUAGAUUAUGCUAAUAUAAAUAAAAAAAUACAAAAAAGCC